Molecule: long non-coding RNA, 724 nt
Organism: Podarcis raffonei (Aeolian wall lizard)
Lineage: Eukaryota; Metazoa; Chordata; Lepidosauria; Squamata; Lacertidae
Exons: 4
Source: RefSeq, a predicted model, not a curated record
UGCGCUCUUCAGUCACGUCUCGGUCCCAUUUCGUUGAGAGGGCUGGAGGUGAAGGGGUGCUGAGGACCGGCUCCGGCGGAGGCCUGAAAUAAACGAAGCCGAGCAGCAAUUUCUUUCUUUGAAACUUAACCCAAUGAGGCAUCAGAGGGACGCGUUCAGUAUGGUGAUGACAAAUAAACUUGGAGCACUUUGCAAAGGAACCUGUGGCGCCAAAAGCCAUGGGGUGGAGGAUGCUGCUGCUGUUGUGAAGCUGGGCUAUCUAACUCAAGAGGAAGAUAAUUCGCACAGAACAUAGGAUGAGUGGGACAGCUGAGCCACAGCUGCUGCACUUCAUAUGUUGAUGCCGGAGACAAGAUGGCUGUAAACUACGACUGAGACGGUGCCUUUCAAGUUGCUUACCGUCCCAUUCCAGAGAGCAUUUGGAAAUCAGUGCUUUGUUUAAUCACCAAGCCACCUGGAAAGAAUUGUGACUGUGAACGUAGAGAUCCCUGCAGAAAAUACUUCCCAAGGCACAGAACGGUGUGAGCUUGUGUGUAUGGCCGGAAACAUAAUGAAACAUCAGCUAUCUUGCUUGUGGGAUUCAGUACAUUUGUGUUAACUGCUUAUAAUCUAUUCCGAGUCAUCUUCGUUAAGCAGAGAACUUUCAUUGUAUCUGACAAAAUGUCUCAAGAUGAACAGAUACUUUAAACACUGAUUUAUGGAAUAAAAGCCUAUUUUACGAUUA